Molecule: ribosomal RNA, 448 nt
Filed under: uncultured bacterium
Lineage: Bacteria
Description: partial 16S ribosomal RNA
Rfam family: Bacterial small subunit ribosomal RNA
Source: RNAcentral
AACGAACGCUGGCGGCAGGCUUAAUACAUGCAAGUCGAGCGGGCACUUCGGUGUCAGCGGCGCACGGGUGCGUAACGCGUGGGAACAUGCCCUUAGGUACGGAACAACACAGGGAAACUUGUGCUAAUACCGUAUAAUAUCUCCGGAACAAAGAUUUAUCGCCUAAGGAUUGGCCCGCGUUAGAUUAGGUAGUUGGUGGGGUAAUGGCCUACCAAGCCGACGAUCUAUAGCUGGUCUGAGAGGAUGAUCAGCCACACUGGAGCUGAGACACGGUCCAGACUCCUACGGGAGGCAGCAGUAAGGAAUAUUGGACAAUGGGCGAAAGCCUGAUCCAGCCAUGCCGCGUGAGUGAUGAAGGCCUAGGGUUGUAAAGCUCUUUUAGAUGGGAAGAUAAUGACUGUACCAUCAGAAUAAGCCCCGGCUAAAUUCGUGCCAGCCGCCGCGGUAA